UGUUUUCUGUUGAAGUUUUGGUACAAGUUCUUUGGAAUAGGACAUCAUAGAGGGUGAGAAUCCCGUAUUUGACCUUAAUUUUUCAACUUUGUGAUACACUUUCAAAGAGUCGGAUUGUUUGGGAAUGCAGUCCAAAAUGGGUGGUAAAUUUCAUCUAAGGCUAAAUAUUGGCGAGAGACCGAUAGCGAACAAGUACCGUGAGGGAAAGAUGAAAAGAACUUUGAAAAGAGAGUUAAAUAGUACGUGAAAUUGUCAAAAGGGAAGCGUUUGGCACCAGUGUUGUUUUUCUAAAAAUCAAUUUAAAAUUUGCUUAUGUUAAGUGUUUUAGACUUAAUCGGCUAUACAUUUAAUUCUUUGUAAAUUUUGAAUGCACUUUUUAGUUAACAAGUCAACAUCAAUUUUUUUUGCUGUAAAAAAGUAAGAGGAAGGUGGCUUGGGAUUCGUUUCAAGUGUUUAUAGCCUCUUGCCCAUGCAGUAGGAGAGAUUGAGGUCUGCAGCAUAGAUCCUUCGGGGCUAGAUGCUUUUGUGCUAGAAGCUAGUAUUAUAUAGACAACUUGUUGAUUAUGUAAUAUAUUAGUUUCUACUCGCUAAAGUUAUUUUACCUAUGCUUAGGAUGUUGACAAAAUGGUUUUAAACGACCCGU
This 643-nucleotide ribosomal RNA is filed under the name uncultured Neocallimastigales. RNAcentral's name for it is "partial large subunit ribosomal RNA". It matches the Rfam family "Eukaryotic large subunit ribosomal RNA", at positions 159 to 652 of the family's 3401-position model. Lineage: Eukaryota; Fungi; Neocallimastigomycota; Neocallimastigomycetes; Neocallimastigales. The record is from RNAcentral.